Molecule: long non-coding RNA, 277 nt
Filed under: Phoenix dactylifera (date palm)
Lineage: Eukaryota; Viridiplantae; Streptophyta; Magnoliopsida; Arecales; Arecaceae
Description: long non-coding RNA (PDAC_LNC011386)
Source: RNAcentral
GCCGAGUGGGAGUGAAUGGUUGAGCACGAAAUCAGUUGGGAAAACUUGAAUGCACUUGAUUUCUCCUCUUGAAAGCUCUAUCUCCCUUGAACCUCUUUUUCUUUCUUCUCUCUUGAAUGAUCUUGUGUUGGGUUAGUGAGAAGUUGUUUGAAGGCACUUAAAAGCUCCCUUUUAUAGCCCAAAAAGCAAUAGAUCCAUUAGACACAAAAAUAUGACCGUUUGAAAUUCAAAUUUACCUGAAAAAGUGUGUCAGUCGCAUCUCAGGCGCUCCGGAGAC